RNAcentral lists this ribosomal RNA (231 nucleotides) under Haemonchus placei. Its description in RNAcentral is "partial 28S ribosomal RNA". Lineage: Eukaryota; Metazoa; Nematoda; Chromadorea; Rhabditida; Trichostrongylidae. The record is from RNAcentral.
AACCAUAUACUACAAUGUGGCUAGUUUCAACAUUGUUUGUCAAAUGGCAUUUGUCUUUUAGACAUUUCCCAUUUCAGUUCAAGAACAUAUACAUGCAACGUGAUGUUAUGAAAUUGUAACAUCCCUGAAUGAUAUGAACAUGUUGCCACUAUUUGAGUGUACUCAGCGAAUAUUGAGAUUGACUUAGAUAGUGACAUGUAUGGCAACGAUGUUCUUUUGUCAUUUGUAUAA